This 703-nucleotide ribosomal RNA is filed under the name uncultured bacterium. Its description in RNAcentral is "bacterial SSU rRNA". It matches the Rfam family "Bacterial small subunit ribosomal RNA", at positions 97 to 796 of the family's 1533-position model. The record is from RNAcentral.
GGCGAACGGGUGAGUAAUAUAUCGGAACGUACCCAAGAGUGGGGGAUAACGUAGCGAAAGUUACGCUAAUACCGCAUACGAUCUAUGGAUGAAAGUGGGGGAUCGCAAGACCUCAUGCUCCUGGAGCGGCCGAUAUCUGAUUAGCUAGUUGGUAGGGUAAAGGCCUACCAAGGCUACGAUCAGUAGCUGGUCUGAGAGGACGACCAGCCACACUGGAACUGAGACACGGUCCAGACUCCUACGGGAGGCAGCAGUGGGGAAUUUUGGACAAUGGGCGCAAGCCUGAUCCAGCAAUGCCGCGUGAGUGAAGAAGGCCUUCGGGUUGUAAAGCUCUUUUGUCAGGGAAGAAACGGUAGAGGCUAAUAUCCUUUGCUAAUGACGGUACCUGAAGAAUAAGCACCGGCUAACUACGUGCCAGCAGCCGCGGUAAUACGUAGGGUGCAAGCGUUAAUCGGAAUUACUGGGCGUAAAGCGUGCGCAGGCGGUUUUGUAAGUCUGUCGUGAAAGCCCCGGGCUCAACCUGGGAAUUGCGAUGGAGACUGCAAGGCUUGAAUCUGGCAGAGGGGGGUAGAAUUCCACGUGUAGCAGUGAAAUGCGUAGAGAUGUGGAGGAACACCGAUGGCGAAGGCAGCCCCCUGGGUCAAGAUUGACGCUCAUGCACGAAAGCGUGGGGAGCAAACAGGAUUAGAUACCCUGGUAGUCC